Molecule: long non-coding RNA, 1832 nt
Organism: Rosa chinensis
Lineage: Eukaryota; Viridiplantae; Streptophyta; Magnoliopsida; Rosales; Rosaceae
Exons: 3
Source: RefSeq, a predicted model, not a curated record
CUCUCUCUCUCUCCGACAAACCCCAACGAAAACCUAAUUGGAUCUGGGAAAUAGCGAAGGCCUUCAUUGAGACCACUCUGAGCUCGCCGUUGACCUCUACACCCAGGCCAUCGCCGUCGAUCCCAACAACUCUGAGUUCUACCGCUCAGGCCAACAUCAAAUCCAACAAUCUCACCGGUAACAACCCCCUCUCUCUUGCAAUUUCUGACGCCAGUUCUUCGUCGUCUUCUUGUUUCGUUCCUGAGACCUAAAAAUUGAAGGAAUUCAAUUGUGUUUUUUGUGUGAACUGAUUGGUUUGGGGUUUUCUUGUUCAGAGGCUGUAGAAAACCUAAUGAGUAGACCUCUAGUGUUCUUCAGAUCUUUCGACAGUGGCGUGUUGCUUUCGGCGGAUUUGAAAUUCAGCUAUGGGUAACCACGAUUUGAAUUUGAAAAUUGGAGCUGUGGAUUUGGGAUUGAAGGCAAAAAUGUCAAUAUUGGGGCUAAGAAGAUAAUUAAGAAGGUUUCUGGGUAAGUUUUGAUUCAAAGUUUUAGUCUUUUGAUUAUGGGUAACUAAGUUUUGAUUCAAAUGUCAAAAUUGUUAGGUACAGGACAAUUGAUGAUCCAAAGCUAAAUGUAGAAGUUUAGAAGAAAUAUCAGGCUCGAUCUCGAGUCCUUGAAGCAUUAAAUGCAAAGAGGGUGAGUUGAAGUUCUUUGUUUUGAAUUUGGCUGCGUCGUUAACAAUGUCGAUUGAGCUCAAGCUUUCCCGGAUUAAUCGAGUUUAUGGUCCUUCUGAACUGGUUGAGGGCAAGAUCAUAGUGAAGUCUGCGUCUUCAAUCUCGCACUAUGGAAUUCGCAUCGCGGUUGAUGGAUCUGUCAAGUUGCAGGUUCGAAUUUCACCGUCCGUGUUAUAAAAUGAAACGUGGUUUAACUUGAGAAACUGGGUAAAGGUGGUGUGGUGAAUUAUAGGUUUCUUAUUAUUAUUUUUUUUUUUUGCUGUUGUGAACGUUCGGGGAGGGACGGCCGGAGUUAUAGAGACUUUGGUUGGUGCUGCCAAGCCUAUUUCAAUUCUGUGAGUGACAUCUUUCUUAGCUUUUGGAGACAUUACAUCUUUUAGUAGUAUGCUUUGUUUUUAAUUAUGUAUGUAUAGAUAGGGAAAAAUGGAGUGAAGUUAAAUGUGUUUCUGGUGUGUUACUCUCCUUUUUUGGCUAAUACGGAAGCGCUCUGCAACCAAUUUGUUCUUCUCACUUGAAAGCAGGAACAAAAUUGUUAAGCUUAGACCUGCUGGAAAGAUUGCUUCAGGCAUAACCGAGAUACUGUUUUCUAUGCAUAUCAGGCAACCAAGAAAAGAUAACCUCGAAAAGUUCUAUGAGACAUUCCAUGGAGGAAAUAUUAACAUUCAGGUGCAUCUUUCUGCCUUGGAAAGUACACAUGUUCAGUAGUUAACCCUAUUCUUGCUUGUUACCAGUUUUCUGAAAUUUUCUCAAACUUGCAGCUUAUUGUUGCAAGCAACUGAUUUGAGAACCAUUACACUUAUUUUUCUGUCCUCGAUCUUCAGUGAUUCAGAUUAGACAAGCAAAGCAUGCCCUGAAACUUGAAACUUGUCUCUCUAUUUGUUUUAUCUGGUUUGAUACCAUUUGCAUUUUUAGUUAGAGUGUUUUUUAUAAUCUUAGUUUUUAGAGCAAGGAGAAGGUCAAAGUCGACCAAUUAUUCUAAUGCUUAAGGGAGAACUCUGUCCUCUCCAGUUUGAUUAUAUUGAGAAAAGUAAGAAAAGUAUUGAGAUUACUAUGUAUCUUCUAUGUGCUAAGAUUAGAGUUUAUUCAUAAUCUAUCUUGAUGGUUUUUGCUAAGAUAGAC